AGGAUCUGAAGACGUUUAACUAGACUUGGAGGUAGACUGUGUAAUGGAGCGUGAAAAAACAUUUUAGUCUGACCAUGUGCUCUAUAAUAUCAGAUCAAUCAGCCAUCUGGCUUGGGAAAAUGGAAUCAUCUUGAUUACCGAAGUGUGCGGAUCCCUCCGGGAGCUGCAGUUAGCUGCUGAGCGUCUCUGAGGAGUGCCCUGCUCUCCUCGCGUGUCCUUCACAGCAGCCUGCUGACAAGUCUCGACACAAGACAGACACAAAUCAAUAGCGUGUUUUUAAAUGUUACUGAGAUGGAAUUUCAGGGAGCCUUCAUGUUAAUGUCAUUUGGCACUUACAUGGAGUAAACAGCAGACGAGGAAAAGCAGACUUGAAUUUGGCUCCAAGAGAGUGAUGCGAAUCCAGGCCCGGCACCUAUUUAACUCCCUGAGGUUGGUUAUGUCCCUGCUGUGAUCAGUGCAUCAACUGGGGGUAUUGCUGCUCCUGGGACUAACUCCUGUAUGCUUUAUAACUUCUGGAGUCCUCAGCAUGCCAGACGCACAGGCUGUCACAAUCUGAAGUUCUUCAUAAUGUGUGCUGUGGAAAGGAGAUGGCCUGUGCUUGAGCCGUAAAACUGAUGGGCUCCAGAGUUGGAUUUGUUGUGCAGGUACAGUUGGUUUACAGCACACAUGGUCAGCCUGACCCUUCCCAAAAGAGAUCUGAGCAUCACCACUGAUUUCGGCAUUCAGAGCUGCUGGAGUGUGACAUAUUCCACGAUUCCUCCCUGCCUGGCUGGUGAAAGCACUUCUCUGCUCCGGAGCGAGCCCCGCGACCCGGCACUUCCCUCCAACAAAGAGCUGGAGACAGACUGCGCCUGCAGGACUCAUCCUAAUGGGAACCAAUUUCGGGAGACAGCCUAG
This 897-nucleotide long non-coding RNA is filed under the name Cairina moschata (Muscovy duck). Its description in RNAcentral is "domestica (muscovy Duck (domestic type)) lncRNA (ENSCMMG00000013468.1)". Lineage: Eukaryota; Metazoa; Chordata; Aves; Anseriformes; Anatidae. The record is from RNAcentral.